UUGAUUUAAUUUUUCGCAAUUACUUUGAUGGAAACCAAUUUAAUCGCAGUGGCUUGAACCGGGCAAAAGUCGUAACAAGGUAGCUGUAGGUGAACCUGCUGCUGGAUCAUUACUUUAUGUGAUGUUCAAAUUUGAAUUCGCAAUGAAAUGAUCGUUGUGAAACGGCUGUCGCUGGUGUCUAAGUGUUGCUGAUACGGUUGUGAACGUCCGUGGCUGUAUAUGUGGUGACAUGUUAGGACUCUAAUGAGUUUAAGACCUAAUGAGCCUCUUAAGUGAGGCCGCCAGCAACCUUUUUUUUCUCUACAUUUUAAAAAAAAAACAAAAAUUCUACCCUUAUCGGGGGAUCACUAGGCUCGUGGAUCGAUGAAAAACGCAGCAAACUGCGAUAAUUAUUGCGAACUGCAGAAGUAUUGAGCACAAAAGUUUUGAACGCAAAUGGCCGCAUUGAGGUCAAACUCUUUGCAACGUCGGGUUCAGGGUCAUUUUCUCUUAUAGCGAAAGCUUUAAUUUCUAUAAGGAUGUUGUUGCUUUAUAUUUUAAAAGAAUUUUUUGUUUAUUCAUGUAUUAAAUCUAACUGUGAAAAUCACACAAUUUUUGACCUGAACUCAGUCGAGAGCACCCGCUGAACUUAAGCAUAUCAGUAAGCGGAGGAAAAGAAACUAAAUAGGAUU
Molecule: ribosomal RNA, 671 nt
Filed under: Meloidogyne incognita (southern root-knot nematode)
Lineage: Eukaryota; Metazoa; Nematoda; Chromadorea; Rhabditida; Meloidogynidae
Description: eukaryotic LSU rRNA
Rfam family: 5.8S ribosomal RNA (bases 329-482)
Source: RNAcentral